Molecule: ribosomal RNA, 242 nt
Filed under: uncultured bacterium
Lineage: Bacteria
Description: partial 16S ribosomal RNA
Rfam family: Bacterial small subunit ribosomal RNA
Source: RNAcentral
CGACAGGGAGCGGAACCCGAAAGCCUGUCUCAGUUCGGAUUGGAGUCUGNAACCCGACUCCAUGAAGCUGGAUUCGCUAGUAAUCGCGGAUCAGCAUGCCGCGGUGAAUACGUUCCCGGGCCUUGUACACACCGCCCGUCACACCAUGGAAGUUUGCAAUGCCCAAAGUCGGUGGCCUAACCAUUUGGAGGGAACCGCCUAAGGCAGGGCAGAUGACUGGGGUGAAGUCGUAACAAGGUAAC